UGGGGAAUUUUGGACAAUGGGGGAAACCCUGAUCCAGCCAUCCCGCGUGUGCGAUGAAGGCCUUCGGGUUGUAAAGCACUUUUGGCAGGAAAGAAACGUCAUGGGUUAAUACCCCGUGAAACUGACGGUACCUGCAGAAUAAGCACCGGCUAACUACGUGCCAGCAGCCGCGGUAAUACGUAGGGUGCAAGCGUUAAUCGGAAUUACUGGGCGUAAAGCGUGCGCAGGCGGUUCGGAAAGAAAGAUGUGAAAUCCCAGAGCUCAACUUUGGAACUGCCUUUUUAACUACCGGGCUAGAGUGUGUCAGAGGGAGGUGGAAUUCCGCGUGUAGCAGUGAAAUGCGUAGAUAUGCGGAGGAACACCGAUGGCGAAGUCAGCCUCCUGGGCUAACACUGACGCUCAUGCACGAAAGCGUGGGGAGCAAACAGG
RNAcentral lists this ribosomal RNA (429 nucleotides) under Acidobacteriota bacterium. RNAcentral's name for it is "Acidobacteria bacterium partial 16S ribosomal RNA". It matches the Rfam family "Bacterial small subunit ribosomal RNA", at positions 355 to 776 of the family's 1533-position model. Lineage: Bacteria; Pseudomonadati; Acidobacteriota. The record is from RNAcentral.